This 497-nucleotide ribosomal RNA is filed under the name uncultured bacterium. RNAcentral describes it as "partial 16S ribosomal RNA". It matches the Rfam family "Bacterial small subunit ribosomal RNA", at positions 28 to 507 of the family's 1533-position model. The record is from RNAcentral.
GAUGAACGCUGGCGGCGUGCCUAAUACAUGCAAGUCGAGCGAACAGACGAGGAGCUUGCUCCUUUGACGUUAGCGGCGGACGGGUGAGUAACACGUGGAUAACCUACCUAUAAGACUGGGAUAACUUCGGGAAACCGGAGCUAAUACCGGAUAACAUGUUGAACCGCAUGGUUCAACAGUGAAAUACGGUCUUGCUGUCACUUAUAGAUGGAUCCGCGCCGCAUUAGCUAGUUGGUAAGGUAACGGCUUACCAAGGCAACGAUGCGUAGCCGACCUGAGAGGGUGAUCGGCCACACUGGAACUGAGACACGGACCAGACUCCUACGGGAGGGAGCAGUAGGGAAUCUUCCGCAAUGGGCGAAAGCCUGACGGAGCAACGCCGCGUGAGUGAAGAAGGUCUUGGGAUCGUAAAACUCUGUUAUUAGGGAAGAACAAAUGUGUAAGUAACUAUGCACGUCUUGACGGUACCUAAUCAGAAAGCCACGGCUAACUACGUG